RNAcentral lists this ribosomal RNA (277 nucleotides) under Exaiptasia diaphana. RNAcentral's name for it is "partial 16S ribosomal RNA". It matches the Rfam family "Bacterial large subunit ribosomal RNA", at positions 2075 to 2411 of the family's 2925-position model. The record is from RNAcentral. Lineage: Eukaryota; Metazoa; Cnidaria; Anthozoa; Actiniaria; Aiptasiidae.
GUAAGACGAAAAGUCCCCAUUGAGCUUUACUAAAGACUUAUAUGGCUCGAAUAACUUAAAUAAAAAGUUUAGAUAAUGUGGGAUCUGUUUUUGGUUAAUGAGACACCACUCUUUUAUUUUAAGAGAACUAACCUUAUAGGGAGAAUGUAAGUUAGAUAGUUUGGUUGGGGCGACCACCUUUUAAAAGGUAACGAAGGUGAGCUUAAGGUCCGUAGUUAAUAGCUAGAGGCCUGACUGCAAGGGGGACAUCCCGAGCAGACACAUCCUUAAGGAUGUG